This 121-nucleotide ribosomal RNA is filed under the name Ipomoea nil (Japanese morning glory). Lineage: Eukaryota; Viridiplantae; Streptophyta; Magnoliopsida; Solanales; Convolvulaceae. The record is from RNAcentral.
GGAUGCGAUCAUACCAGCACUAAUGCACCGGAUCCCAUCAGAACUCCGAAGUUAAGCGUGCUUGGGCGAGAGAGUAGUACUAGGAUGGGUGACCCCCUGGGAAGUCCUCGUGUUGCAUCCC